GACGAACGCUGGCGGCGUGCCUAAUACAUGCAAGUCGAACGAGAGCGACCGGUGCUUGCCCUGGUCAAUCUAGUGGCGAACGGGUGAGUAACACGUGGGUAACCUGCCCAUCAGAGGGGGAUAACAUCCGGAAACGGAUGCUAAAACCGCAUAGGUCUUCGAGCCGCAUGGCUUGAAGAGGAAAAGAGGCGCAAGCUUCUGCUGAUGGAUGGACCCGCGGUGCAUUAGCUAGUUGGUGAGGUAACGGCUCACCAAGGCCGUGAUGCAUAGCCGACCUGAGAGGGUGAUCUGCCACAUUGGGACUGAGACAAGGCCCAAACUCCUACGGGAGGCAGCAGUAGGGAAUCUUCCGCAAUGGACGCAAGUCUGAAGGAGCAACGCCGCGAGAGUGAAGAAGGUGUUCGGAUCGUAAAACUCUGUUGUUAGAGAAGAACAAGUGCUAGAGUAACUGUUAGCGCCUUGACGGUAUCUAACCAGAAAGCUACGGCUAACUGCGUG
Molecule: ribosomal RNA, 498 nt
Filed under: uncultured bacterium
Lineage: Bacteria
Description: partial 16S ribosomal RNA
Rfam family: Bacterial small subunit ribosomal RNA
Source: RNAcentral